GGCGGGGCGAGGGAGGGUUGCGAGGAAGCGGCGCGGUGGCGCGGCGUGACGCGAGGAAGCGUCAAUCGAGUGCCGCGUCGCCUCCUCGACAGUGUCGCAUCCUCUCGAGUUGCUAGUUUUUAUCCCAAGGAUCAACUUUUCAUCCCUUGGAUUCUCAAAAACAGUUCUCCCGAUCAUCGUUAAAAUCGGCCAGAAGCGAGGUCCAUGGAGGCUCCUGCCGCGGGGGGCUCCUCCGCUCAAGGGUCGGCCAGGAAGGACCCCAGGAGCUACCCUCCAACCCCCCGUCGGACCCCCUUCGCCCUUGUCCGGAGCCUACCUCUUCGUCGUGAUUGGUGAACCCGCUCCGAGGAAGACAAGCAGGUCAUCCUCCAGAAAAUUACCAAAGGUGAGUGGACGAGUAUGAACCUCGAUGCUGACGCUUGAUAGAAUGCCCUCGAUUCGGCCAGCGUAUGUAAUCACUUUUUUUUCAUGCAGUUCCACCGUUGCCCUUUCGAGCAACCCAGCUCUCAGUCAAACUUGCCGCUUCACCACUCAAGACUUGAGUUCCAUUCCAGGGAGAGCGGUGUUAUUGCUUGACCCAGA
RNAcentral lists this long non-coding RNA (582 nucleotides) under Bemisia tabaci. RNAcentral's name for it is "lncRNA ENSSSA3NGG011993". Lineage: Eukaryota; Metazoa; Arthropoda; Insecta; Hemiptera; Aleyrodidae. The record is from RNAcentral.